CCUAGGGGGGGCAGCAGUGGGGAAUAUUGGACAAUGGGCGAAAGCCUGAUCCAGCCAUGCCGCGUGUGUGAAGAAGGCCUUCGGGUUGUAAAGCACUUUCAGUGGGGAAGAAAGCCUUGGGGCUAAUACCCUCGAGGAAGGACAUCACCCACAGAAGAAGCACCGGCUAACUCCGUGCCAGCAGCCGCGGUAAUACGGAGGGUGCGAGCGUUAAUCGGAAUUACUGGGCGUAAAGCGCGCGUAGGCGGUCUGAUAAGCCGGUUGUGAAAGCCCCGGGCUCAACCUGGGAACGGCAUCCGGAACUGUCAGGCUAGAGUGCAGGAGAGGAAGGUAGAAUUCCCGGUGUAGCGGUGAAAUGCGUAGAGAUCGGGAGGAAUACCAGUGGCGAAGGCGGCCUUCUGGACUGACACUGACGCUGAGGUGCGAAAGCGUGGGUAGCAAACAGGAUUAGAUACCCGAGUAGUC
This 465-nucleotide ribosomal RNA is filed under the name Vreelandella stevensii. RNAcentral describes it as "partial 16S ribosomal RNA". It matches the Rfam family "Bacterial small subunit ribosomal RNA", at positions 338 to 795 of the family's 1533-position model. The record is from RNAcentral. Lineage: Bacteria; Pseudomonadati; Pseudomonadota; Gammaproteobacteria; Oceanospirillales; Halomonadaceae.